ACUCUGAAACGGCAAAACCGGCGAAAGCCGGUGACGCAAAGCCACGGGUCUAAAGCAUAGCGCCAUGAUCGCCGGGCCGCCGAA
Molecule: non-coding RNA, 84 nt
Filed under: Sporobacter termitidis
Lineage: Bacteria; Bacillati; Bacillota; Clostridia; Eubacteriales; Oscillospiraceae
Also listed under: 1 other name
Description: c-di-GMP sequence
Rfam family: c-di-GMP-I riboswitch aptamer
About the family: GEMM was predicted in a large-scale screen for bacterial structured RNA regulatory elements. Genes associated with GEMM are involved in a diverse array of functions, including chemotaxis regulation, signal transduction, secretion and chitin.
Source: RNAcentral